CUUUAUUUACAAAAAAAAUUGCACACGCUUCCAUAUCUCUGUGACUUUAGACCUAAAGUGCGUCUUAUUUCUUCACCUUCUUCGCUAAGUCGGUAUAAAUAACAAAUUAUUUCUGUUGUAGUGUACAAUAUCAGUGCAGUCUCGAGACAAGUGGACAUACAAUAAUUAUACAAAUAUGAAGUUCUACCUCUUUGCCAUCGUUAUGCUUAUGGCAGUAGUGUCAGUGGUUCUCGCUACUCUAGAUACCAUGGGACCGGAUGACUGUCCACCUGGAACUAUUAGAGUUGGAACUGAAUGUUAUCACUUCAUUAAGCCUAAAAGUAGAUUCGAAAAAAAUUAUAAUAAUCAUCAAGUUUAGGCCAUUCACGAUACACAAACAAAUCAAUGAAUUUAUGACUCGCGAUACAUUAAAUAUAUGAUAUCAUCAAAAACAUUCUGAAAAAUAUCCCCAAAUCUCGCACCUCAGUUUUCCUACAGUAAAAAGUAGUGAGAUCAAUGUAAUACCAAGUCGGUUAUUUUAUUUAGUCCCUAUUUAAGAGACUUCUGUCUUAAGUUAUUAUGUAAAUUGUUAUCAUAUCGAUAUUACAUUUAUUUUACGUUUUAAAUAAAAUAAAUCGACUUGGCCAUCGCGAAACGAUCCUAACAACCCCUAAAUUCCUAACCCCCAAACGGCCAGCAACGCACUUGUAACGCCUGUGGUGUUUCGGGUGUCCAGGGGCGGCGGCGAUUAUUUAUCAUCAGGUGAUCCGUCAGUCCGUUUACUGGCUUAUACCAUAAAAAAAUAUAUAUGUUACCUAAUUAUUAUGGUUUUAUAUAGGUAAUGUAUUUUUCAAUAAAUGUGUCAUUAAUUAAA
Molecule: long non-coding RNA, 853 nt
Organism: Spodoptera frugiperda (fall armyworm)
Lineage: Eukaryota; Metazoa; Arthropoda; Insecta; Lepidoptera; Noctuidae
Exons: 2
Source: RefSeq, a predicted model, not a curated record